Molecule: long non-coding RNA, 1702 nt
Filed under: Homo sapiens (human)
Lineage: Eukaryota; Metazoa; Chordata; Mammalia; Primates; Hominidae
Description: HSALNT0051540
Source: RNAcentral
CUUUUAUAAAAAUAAAAAAAGUUAUAAGAAUGAAAGCAGAGGCCUCUUGGCCUCACUAGACUAGUUCUCAAGCCUUCUUAAGUCUAAUUUGCCAAGCCUAAUUUGCCACUUCACCCGAAAAGGAUGUUUAAAGAGGCCACUGAUUUAAAAGCUCUGUGUCAACAUGCAUGCCCAGCUUAUUCAAGUUGGAAGGGGUCAGGGUGGACCUCUAGUCCAGUGGCUGCUAGGCCUGGCUGAAUUUUUUACAUGCAGUUCCCUAAUCUCCACCCCGAAGACCCACUGACUUUGAGUCUCGAUCUCAGCUCACUGCAGCCUCAACCUCCCAGGCUCAAGUGAGCCUCCCACUACAGCCCCUCUGAGUCGCUGGGAAUACAGGCACACACCACCAUGCCCAGCUAAUUUUUAUUUUUUUAAUGUAGAGAGACAAGGUCUCACUAUGUUGCCCAGGCUGGUUUUGAACUCCUGGGCUUAAACAGUCCUCCCACUUCAGCCUCCCAAAGAGCUGGGAUUACAGGCAUAAGCCAGCCAGCCAGAAUGUGAAUUUUUAAUAAGUCCUCAGGUGAUUCUGAGGACUAGCAAGGUUUGGGAACCACUGCGCUAGUCCUUCCUGCCUAAAACAUCACUCCUAAUUAGUGGUAAUGGAACAUCCAAGUCACACCAGCAUCUGGGAGUUGACAGUCCUAGGCCCCAGCCACUUCCUCUGCUAAAGAGUUCCACAUACACUCUCCAAUUAGACCUAGUUUUUCCCUUACAAUCAACAAAAACAGUCUACUUCCUUCCUCAUAAGUCAGCCCUUCAAAGAUAUGAGGAAGCCAGCUACCUGAUUACCCUUGUUUUUUCCUCCUCCAAGAUAAACAUGUCCAAUUGUUUCCCACCAUUUCCAGGUGUCUCCCGCAUCACUGUCACUUUCACCUGUACCCUAGAGUCUGCUGAUGUUUCUCAUCAAAUAUGGUGGUCAUGGUGGAACCUAAGACUCUAAGUCAGCCAGCACUGGACUGAAGAAAACAGGGAGAAGUCCUUCAUGCAUGUGUUUUCAUAAAUUUGGUCAAAGAUAUCUGUUCUAAGCAGUGCUAACCUCAUAUUAUCCAAUUAUUUAUUCAAUCAAUGUUUGUUAAAAACCUGCAACACAAAAGGAACUAAUGUGGAUCCAGAAACCAUGAAUAUAAGGAAUGGCUGGUCCCUGACUCAAGGAGUUUGCAUAGCAAUUUGAUAACUUCAGUAAUUCCUAGGUAAGGUGAAAUGUGGUUGUUUCAAAAGGAGGGGAGAGCAAAGCCAGCUGAUAGUCUUAUAGAUGGCCCCACAAAGCUGGUGGCAUUAGGGUUGGGCUGGAAAUGACGAGCAACUGCCUCAAAAGUGAAGAUCUGAGGUGGAGCAGGGUCUCAGCAGAGAGUGAGCAACCAGAAAGAAACAUGGGCUGUGAUCUGGAAAUGUUCACUGGGUCACAGCCCAGAGCACUUGGAGGGAAGCAGUAGAGACAUUCUUGGCCUGUAUUAACUCUUUUUCAUUGGAAUUGCUGUCAAAUCAGGUAUGCUUCAUUCUAUAUUAUUGACUUUUUGGAGCUUAAAUACAAUUUGUUGAUACUUAAAUGUAUUCCUAUUACAUUUUAUUGGGCUGGUUUUUGUCCAACAUUCAUAUACUAAGAAGUAACAGAUUGGAAGGGGUUUAAGAAGUCAGGGAAACCUACUCAAAAAAGAAAGUGGAU